GGAUUGUGGCUCAGUGGUAGAGCACUUGCCUUGCAUGCACGAGGCCCUGGGUUCAAUCCUCAGCACCA
Molecule: transfer RNA, 68 nt
Filed under: Marmota monax (woodchuck)
Lineage: Eukaryota; Metazoa; Chordata; Mammalia; Rodentia; Sciuridae
Description: tRNA.Ala
Rfam family: tRNA (bases 5-65)
About the family: Transfer RNA (tRNA) molecules are approximately 80 nucleotides in length. Their secondary structure includes four short double-helical elements and three loops (D, anti-codon, and T loops).
Source: RNAcentral